AUUGAACGCUGGCGGCAGGCUUAACACAUGCAAGUCGAGCGGUAACAGAGAGAAGCUUGCUUCUCUGCUGACGAGCGGCGGACGGGUGAGUAAUGCCUAGGAAUCUGCCUAGUAGUGGGGGAUAACUUGCCGAAAGGUAAGCUAAUACCGCAUACGUCCUACGGGAGAAAGGAGGGGACCUUCGGGCCUUUCGCUAUUAGAUGAGCCUAGGUCGGAUUAGUUAGUUGGUGAGGUAAUGGCUCACCAAGACCGCGAUCCGUAACUGGUCUGAGAGGAUGAUCAGUCACACUGGAACUGAGACACGGUCCAGACUCCGACGGGAGGCAGCAGUGGGGAAUAUUGGGCAAUGGGGGGAACCCUGAUCCAGCCAUGCCGCGUGUGUGAAGAGGGUCUUAGGAUUGUAAAGCACUUUAAGUUGGGAGGAAGAGCAGUUAACUAAUAUUUGACUGUUUUGACGUUACCGACAGAAUAAGCACCGGCUAACUUCGUGCCAGCCGCCGCAGUAA
This 506-nucleotide ribosomal RNA is filed under the name uncultured bacterium. RNAcentral describes it as "partial 16S ribosomal RNA". It matches the Rfam family "Bacterial small subunit ribosomal RNA", at positions 30 to 523 of the family's 1533-position model. The record is from RNAcentral.